AUCUUCGACGACGUAACGGUCCUUUUUAAUUUCAAUCAACAAGGAAUCUUCGACGACGUAACGGUCCUUUAUAUAUUAUAUUUAAUCUGUUGUCGUACCUACUUUCUCUUCAAUGUAUCUUAAAUUACCUCAUUCUGUCUAUAUAAAGACCCUCUGAGAGGUUGAUGCAAAUCUCUAACUUCUUACAAUUCAUAGCUUACGUUAUUUCUCUAAGUCUGAUCAUGGCUUCUUACAAACUUUAUUUUACAGAUUUGAGGCCGUUGGAAAGAUAUUUUCUUGGACGCAAUGUUCCGUCUAAUCUUAAGAAAGCUGGUGAGCUGAUAGGCGUUGAUAUGGUGCGAGCGUUGAUACGGUGCUCAUCGAUUGGAAGUCUUCACAAAUCCGACAUCAAUCAAUGUUCACCGGCUCAACACAUCUUGAAAGAAGGAUGGCUUUAUGAACUACCUGUGUUUGGUGCUACAAGAAGCAACCCAAAUUUUUGAGUUGGUGACGCCCCUGUUGCUAUUAGGUUCAUGGAUCAAACAGUGUUCGUUGACUUAGCAGAAUAUAUCCACCCCAUCCCCAGGGAGAGAGCUUUUGGUUUCGCAAUUCCGACCAACUCAUGCUCUUGGCUACCACGAUCACAGUUUUGCGAGGGAUGAUGUCAGCAAGUUAUCCUUUCUUCACAUAGUCUUGAAGCCUCAUCUAAACCUGGUCCUUGCAAUAAAAAAAAUUGUUUUAGUCCCUAUACCAUGUUGGUUUUUAUGGGAGCUGACUAACAAAGGAUGUUCAAGCAUCCUUUUAAGUUUUGACAUGUAGCUUUGAUAGUCUUUUCCUAGAGUCUCCAAACCCCUUGAGUGAAGCGUGGGUUUCUAACCUAGAGCGUUCCUUCAUGUUAGUUUAUUGCGUCUUCCAGUCCUCAAUAUGUUUUGCCUUCUUCUCUUGGUGUCUUUCUCUCGUCUUGCUGAUCAAUCGAUUGAUUUUCAAAGUAAAUAACGGCAUGUCUACCCACGGGAGAAAGAGGAAGAAUCUCGCGGGAGCUCCUAUCAGGACAUAUUUGUUAGAGAGGCCACGGAUUUGUCAAUAUGCGUACCCUGAAAAACUAUCAUUUCUUUACCCGAUUUGUGCUGCACCAGAACAUCUCAGUCUGAUCGAUCUCUUCUAUGGACUACGUAAAUACAAGGAAAGCUAUGGACGGAAUUGGGAUACGAGUCUGGUGCUCAAGUGCUGUUCUUUUAAUUGUUUAUUAAGGCUCUUAGACAUAGGAAUAACUCUAUUGACAUUCUACUUUUGCAGGAUGAAAUCUAUCGUGUAGUAGUCCUUCACUUUUAAAUCUAAUAUAACAUUGGCAUGUACACUUGGAACGUCUACACUGAUAUACUAUUUUAAACAAGGUUUAAAUAUAAUAUAGUAUUUAUUAAAUAUAACAAUUGUC
This is a long non-coding RNA of Brassica napus (rape), 1414 nucleotides long. RefSeq lists it as uncharacterized. The transcript is spliced from 3 exons. The record is from RefSeq and is a predicted model, not a curated record. NCBI's taxonomy places the organism in Eukaryota, Viridiplantae, Streptophyta, Magnoliopsida, Brassicales, Brassicaceae.